Mercenaria mercenaria is the source of this 4398-nucleotide RNA transcript. RefSeq lists it as uncharacterized. NCBI's taxonomy places the organism in Eukaryota, Metazoa, Mollusca, Bivalvia, Venerida, Veneridae. The record is from RefSeq and is a predicted model, not a curated record. The transcript has 16 exons.
UCCGGAUAUUGCCGAAUAUUUACGGAAUAAACCGAAUACUUGCCGUCGAUAAUUUUGGACGCUGACAUUUGUUUACAAAUUUUGGAAUUAUUAAUUAGGAUAAAAACUGACUUUUAAGAAUGUCUAGUGCAAACUUAGAGCACAGAGAGGUUUCGGCUCCCAGAGUCAGUAAAUUCAACGUUUAUAUUCAGGGGGACCUCAAGCAUUGUCAUUUUACGAUCCUCACAGUACAUGACCUGGGAUGCAAUCACAACAGUUGGAGGAACUUCUUGGAACAUGAGUCUAUGAAGCACAUAACGAACAGAGCUGCAUUUAUACAUGUAGAUGUUCCAGGACAGGAAGAUGGAGCUCCAGACCUCCCCCCAGAAGAAGAGAGUACUAGUGCCAUUAGUAACAUUGGCAGGAGGUUGAGUAUGGGAACAGAAAGAAAAGGCAGUUUCCGCGAACAAACUGAGGAAUGUUACACGUUUCCGAGUAUGCAGAGUCUUGGUGAAGAUCUUGUAUGUGUUUUAGAUCAGUUAGAUGUGAAGAAUGUUGUAGGUCUGGGAGAAGGAGCUGGUGCAAACAUUAUUGCAAGGUUUGCUAUGUCCCAUCCUAAGAGAGUGUUGGGUAUUUGUUUGGUACACUGCACAGGAACUACUGCAGGAUUCAUGGAAUCUCUCAAGGAUAAGGUGAUUGGCUGGAAGUUGGACCAUAUAGGUAUGAACCCAACUGCAGAGGCCUACCUUGUGCUUCACAGAUUUGGAUCUAAACAUUUGAAAGAUAGCAAUAAACGGUUUGAAAAGGCUGAGAACAAAGAGGAAUUGAACAAGGUGUUAACAACAUUCCAGGAUGGACUACGCUCUAAGCUCAAUCCUCACAACCUCAACAGAUAUGUCCAGUCUUUUAUGAAGCGUACAUGCAUUACCGACACAAUUCAGAAAAUAACAUGCCCAGUGUUGAUGGUAACAGGAGAUAAAGCUUCAUUCAAUCAUACUGUUCAUCAUUUGUAUGGUUACAUGUCACAGAAACUUGACAAAGCAAAGAUUGAGUUACUCGAAGUGGAAGGGGUGGCUAAUGUGUUGGAAGAGAAGCCUCAGAAGUUGGCAGAGAGCUUCUUGUACUUCUGUCAGGGUAUUGGUGUAGUGGGUGGAGUACCUAUGCCAAGAGUGGAAAGAACUUCUUCAGUUGACAGCGAUUCAGCUAGAGCAGCACUUCGUAAUCGCAGCAUGUCCAUGGAAGAGGCAGAUUUACCUAAAGGAACCUACUCUACCAGUCCUACCAGGUUCGGUAGUCCAUUAGCUUCCAGCCCAGCUAAAUCAGGGAACCCUCUUUCAAGCAGCCCGUAAAGGGGGGCGUCGCUGUUAACCUAGAUUUUGUUUGUAUGUAAGGUGCAGGGCCACUCGUUCAGUCAAUGUUUACAUAAGUGUUUAUGUUUAAAUGAAGCCAGAAAUACAACUGCACCCAAAUGUUUUGGAUAAGCCGAAUGUUUCCAUUGCAUAACUGUACAUGUUGUAGAAGAAAAUCAUACCUAGAUUCAUGUUCUAUUUUUUGGUGAAGGAUUUUGAUACUACCUGUUUGUUCCAGGCACCCAUUUUAUACUGUUCAAUUUUUGUAUAUUUUACCAUGAAUUUUCUACUAAAUAUACUCAUUUUGAUAAGAAGUGUAGAAUAUAUCUGUCUGGAAGUUGUGUGUAAUAUAAUAGUACUGCAAUGUUUAAUGCAAGUUUAAAGGUAUACUAGGCCCAAAUUUCAUAUUUGAAAAUGUGAACAAUUGCUGCAUAUAGUUUAUGUAAACAUAAAGUCAGCAAGUUUAUAUGAAUUAGUAGUACUAUGUGUUAAAAAUUUAAAAUAGUGCACACUUAAAACAUAAUUAAAUGCAAUAUAAAUUUGUAGUACCACUAAAAACUGGAAGUUAUUUAAACAAUCAACUGUUACUGACAGCAAGACAACUAUGAAUGUAUUUCAACAUGUACAAUUAAUGUAUAUAUUCUAUUAAGUAAAUACAGUUGAUGGGGAUAGUAAAUAUAGAAAGAUAAAAUAUAUUAGUGAAGUAUGAGCGUUGGAUACCUUUAAUGUAUGACAAACUGCAAUAGUUAUAAUUCAGAUUUUUACUUUUUUUACUGCUAGUGACAGGAGAGCUUCGCUUCAAGCUACAGACCUAGUGGAACAAAGAUAGAAGGAACGGUAUCUGCAAGUGAGGUUAAAGUUGACCUGGUAGAGAAAGAAUGAACUCUGUCAGUGUGUCAAUUUAACUGUUUUUACAAAAGAUUUCAUCAUAUAUGAUAAAUCAGGAAAACUGUUGUACCUUUUUUGUAGUGUAUGUGUGAUUUGCUUACGAUUGAGGGAUAUUUUUCUUGAACAAUUUUGCCAUUAUGGCAUUUUCAUCUUGAAUAUUUUAUUGAAUUAAAUUACUGUAAAGUCGGACCAUUCAUGAGAGAUUGAUUUUUGCAUCUAAAGUGUUUGUGUGCAAGUUGAAUGGAAAACUUGAAAGAAAAUCUUGAAAACUUUAUCUUUGUGUUCGUCUGCUAUGGGAAUUGUAAAACUCUUUGUAUUCACUGUUACAAAUUUGACAAACAAAUUAUGAAAUAUCCGACAGUCCAUUGACAUAAACUGAGGGGAAAAUUAAGAACAUUUUUUAAACUUAUUUUGUUAAGUUUCAGCACUUCAAUGCAAAAGUGUAUAAGUUGGUGUUUGUUUAACAGUAUAUAAUUUAGAUUAAUACAUAUUACAAUGCUCUGAGAUAUGACAGUUCCAUAAAAACUGGAAAUACAUGCAAGCCUUAGCAAAAAGUAUUUUGUGAACUUGAAUUCAGAAGUAACUUUAUAUCAGGAAAACAUGUAUUUGUUUGAACAACCUAUAACAAGGAAACAUAUUUUAACCAAAUUAAAUUGUAAUAUUACAGGUCAUUUGAUAUGCUGGCAGAGUUCGUAUUUCUUUAUUUUUAUAUGUUUCAUACUUUGAUAUUUUUGUUUAGCUGAAUCACACAAAUAUUUAUGUUUAUUAUAGUAACUACAUAUCGUGACCUAAACGCGAAACUAGUCUAUCUGCUUCUAUUUCUAUAUACACAUAGACUAGUUUCGCGUUGAGGCCACGAUAUCUUCUUUACACAUAAUUUUAAACAGAGGAAUUUAUUUGCGUGAUUCACCAUUUCAAAUGAUGAAGUUGUUGUCAUGUUUUUUUUCUCUUGUUUUCUGUUAGAUGUUUUAUUCAGUUUUUCAAACAUGCAAAAAGACUACUGCACUGUUGCUGAUCUAAAUUUCAGCUUGUUUUGUUGGUUAUUUUGAUUCACUUUGAAAGAUUGUGAAGAAAAUGAAAAUUCUGGCACUGACAUUAAAUCGUACUUUAAAGUAGAGUAAGUGGAAACUCAUGAUCCAUGGUCAUGAUCCAUGCUGUUCGCUUUUAAAGCCUACUGCAAUUAGAGAAACUGUUAGCGAACAGCAUGGAUCCUGACCAGACUGCGCGGAUGCGCAGGCUGGUCUGGAUCCAUGCUGGUCGCAAACCCACUAUGUUGGUUUUCUCAUGGCACGGCUCAAAUAUUUCAUACAUUAUACUAACCUGCAUUUAUACUGCAAUCUCGGUACAUGUUAAUAUUCAGAGUAUAUAAUUAUAGAUAUCAUAAAAUAAAAUAUGUAAUUCAUUGGUACUACAUACAGAUAUAUUAGCACAUUAAAAAAAUAAUAACCAAGAGAGUGAUACUAGUUGAUAAGAUGUAUAUAUAAAUCACAUUAUUGCUUAUAAUAUUUUUAUAGCAUGUGAGUUGUCACAUGAAAAUAGACCAUCUUUCUGAGUUACGCAUUGGUAAAAAAAAAACAUAUUUUAAAUUAUUAAAUAUUAGAUUUUAGUUUUCAUAUUGUUUCAGACUGCAGUAUCAUACUCAUUAAAACAAAAGCUAGGCAGAUAUAUUGGCUUGUAUUUCCCUACAGGAGAAACAUUAUGUUUUAAGGAUCUUAAUAACAUGAAAUGAAAAAUAUAUUCGGAGAUGGCAUUUUUAAAUGUGGCAAAUCAUAGCUUCAUUAAAUAUAUUUUGCCUGCAUGCAGCACCAUUGUAAAAUACAGAAUGAUUAUUUCAAGGUUUAUUUUCUUUGUAUGCCAGGACAAGGACUUUUUAUAAACAGAAUAAUAUAAAAAGAUAAUCUUCAACAAUGUUUGACUCCAGUAAAGAGAAAAUGUAUAUGUAUUAAUUGUUUACAUUUUGUACAAUGGUGAUGUUUUACAUUUUUGUUUUGUUUUAAAAGUGUAACAGCUUUUAGUGGAUUCUAGUCUGUAUAUAAAUAACAUGUUAAAAGCUUUGUUUCACAAACAGCAAUAAAAAGUGCAUUAACCAUAAAAAAAAAUUUUAUGCUAAUUCUGAGUGAUUUUGAUUGCGGUUUUACCUGCUUGUUUGAAAUAUUUGUUGGAAGGAAGCCAUUUUCACUUU